GAUGAACGCUGGCGGCGUGCCUAAUACAUGCAAGUCGAGCGAACGGACGAGAAGCUUGCUUCUCUGAUGUUAGCGGCGGACGGGUGAGUAACACGUGGAUAACCUACCUAUAAGACUGGGAUAACUUCGGGAAACCGGAGCUAAUACCGGAUAAUAUUUUGAACCGCAUGGUUCAAAAGUGAAAGACGGUCUUGCUGUCACUUAUAGAUGGAUCCGCGCUGCAUUAGCUAGUUGGUAAGGUAACGGCUUACCAAGGCAACGAUGCAUAGCCGACCUGAGAGGGUGAUCGGCCGCACUGGAACUGAGACACGGCCCAGACUCCUACGGGAGGCAGCAGUAGGGAAUCUUCCGCAAUGGGCGAAAGCCUGACGGAGCAACGCCGCGUGAGUGAUGAAGGUCUUCGGAUCGUAAAACUCUGUUAUUAGGGAAGAACAUAUGUGUAAGUAACUGUGCACAUCUUGACGGUACCUAAUCAGAAAGCCACGGCUAACUACGUG
RNAcentral lists this ribosomal RNA (497 nucleotides) under uncultured bacterium. RNAcentral's name for it is "partial 16S ribosomal RNA". It matches the Rfam family "Bacterial small subunit ribosomal RNA", at positions 28 to 507 of the family's 1533-position model. The record is from RNAcentral.